AGUUCAUACUCGUGGCGAAUAGCUCAGUAACACGUGGCCAAACUACCCUUCGGAGCACGAUACCCUCGGGAAACUGAGGCUAAUAGUGCAUCCCACAAUCCAGCUGGAAUGAGGAUUGUGCCAAACGCUCCGGCGCCGAAGGAUGUGGCUGCGGCCGAUUAGGUAGACGGUGGGGUAACGGCCCACCGUGCCAAUAAUCGGUACGGGUCAUGAGAGUGAGAACCCGGAGACGGAAUCUGAGACAAGAUUCCGGGCCCUACGGGGCGCAGCAGGCGCGAAACCUUUACACUGCACGCCAGUGCGAUAAGGGAAUCCCAAGUGCGCAGGCAUAGAGCCUGCGCUUUUGUCCACCGUAGGGAGGUGGACGAAUAAGGGCUGGGCAAGACCGGUGCCAGCCGCCGCGGUAAUACCGGCAGCCCGAGUGAUGGCCGAUCUUAUUGGGCCUAAAGCGUCCGUAGCUGGCCGUACAAGUCCAUCGGAAAAUCCACCCGCUCAACGGGUGGGCGUCCGGUGGAAACUGUAUGGCUUGGGACCGGAAGGCGCGACGGGUACGUCCGGGGUAGGAGUGAAAUCCCGUAAUCCUGGACGGACCGCCGAUGGCGAAAGCACGUCGCGAGGACGGAUCCGACAGUGAGGGACGAAAGCCAGGGUCUCGAACCGGAUUAGAUACCCGGGUAGUCCUGGCCGUAAACAAUGUCUGUUAGGUGUGGCUCCCACUACGAGUGGGUGCUGUGCCGUAGGGAAGCCGCUAAACAGACCGCCUGGGAAGUACGUCCGCAAGGAUGAAACUUAAAGGAAUUGGCGGGGGAGCACUACAACCGGAGGAGCCUGCGGUUUAAUUGGACUCAACGCCGGACAUCUCACCAGCAUCGACUGUAAUAAUGACGAUCAGGUUGAUGACCUUAUCCGAGUUUCAAAGAGGAGGUGCA
This 929-nucleotide ribosomal RNA is filed under the name Halorubrum sp. RNAcentral describes it as "bacterial SSU rRNA". It matches the Rfam family "Archaeal small subunit ribosomal RNA", at positions 66 to 994 of the family's 1478-position model. The record is from RNAcentral. Lineage: Archaea; Methanobacteriati; Methanobacteriota; Halobacteria; Halobacteriales; Haloferacaceae.